UGGUGGUGUGAAUUGUCUGAUUAAUUCCGUUAACGAACGAGACCUCGACCUGCUAAAUAGUUCGGCGAACUCUUCGGGGUUCGGCCGCGACUUCUUAGAGGGACUAUCGGUGUGUAGCCGGUGGAAGUUCGAGGCAAUAACA
RNAcentral lists this ribosomal RNA (142 nucleotides) under uncultured eukaryote. Its description in RNAcentral is "partial 18S ribosomal RNA". It matches the Rfam family "Eukaryotic small subunit ribosomal RNA", at positions 1299 to 1458 of the family's 1831-position model. The record is from RNAcentral.